Molecule: ribosomal RNA, 1039 nt
Filed under: Lacticaseibacillus rhamnosus
Lineage: Bacteria; Bacillati; Bacillota; Bacilli; Lactobacillales; Lactobacillaceae
Description: partial 23S ribosomal RNA
Rfam family: Bacterial large subunit ribosomal RNA
Source: RNAcentral
CCACUGGAGUACGGAAACAGGGCACGUUAAAAAUGUCUGGGAUGACUUGUAGUUAGCCGCGAAAUUCGAAACGAGCUGGGAGAUAGCUGGUUCUCUCCGAAAUAGCUUUAGGGCUAGCGUCGCUGUUAAGUCACUUGGAUGUAGAGCACUGUUUGGGUGAGGGGUCCAUCUCGGAUUACCAAUCUCAGAUAAACUCCGAAUGCCAACGAGAUAUCAUCGGCAGUCAGACUGCGAGUGCUAAGAUCCGUAGUCGAAAGGGAAACAGCCCAGACCACCAGCUAAGGUCCCAAAAUAACUGUUAAGUGGAAAAGGAUGUGGGGUUGCACAGACAACUAGGAUGUUAGCUUAGAAGCAGCUAUUCAUUCAAAGAGUGCGUAAUAGCUCACUAGUCGAGUGACCCUGCGCCGAAAAUGUACCGGGGCUAAAACAGUUUACCGAAGCUGUGGAUGACACAAAAGUGUCAUGGUAGGAGAGCGUUCUAUGUGUGAAGAAGGUGUACCGUGAGGAGCGCUGGAACGCAUAGAAGUGAGAAUGCCGGUAUGAGUAGCGAAAGACAGGUGAGAAUCCUGUCCACCGUAAGACUAAGGUUUCCAGGGGAAGGCUCGUCCGCCCUGGGUUAGUCGGGACCUAAGGAGAGACCGAAAGGUGUAUCCGAUGGCCAACAGGUUGAUAUUCCUGUACUAGAGUAUAUAGUGAUGGAGGGACGCAGUAGGCUAACUAAACCGGACGAUUGGAAGAGUCCGGCUAAGCAGUGAGGUGUAAGAUGAGUCAAAUGCUUAUCUUUAUAACAUUGAGCUGUGAUGGGGAGCGAAUUUUAGUAGCGAAGUUAGUGAUGUCACACUGCCAAGAAAAGCUUCUAGCGUUUAAUGAUACUCUACCCGUACCGCAAACCGACACAGGUAGUCGAGGCGAGUAGCCUCAGGUGAUCGAGAGAACUCUCGUUAAGGAACUCGGCAAAAUGACCCCGUAACUUCGGGAGAAGGGGUGCUGACUUAGGUCCGUGCUUGAACGUUCAGCCAUGUUACGCCGAUAUCUGAAA